UCUCUCUGACCCAUUAUUGCAGACUUAAAAACAAGCAUGUUUUCAAAUGGUGCUAUGAGUUGCCAAUGAUGUAUCACCACCGUAUCUCAUUAUUCUCUACUAAAUGUGAUAAUAAUGUGAUCUGUUAACAUAAAAAAGUUUGACUCCACAAAAGCAGCUGGAAAUGGACAACCGCAAUAUGCAUAAAUCUAACUCCUACCAUCGGAUGCACACUGCUUGACACAUAUUGUCAGGAGCACCUCGCAUCUGCGAGUUCUCUUAAGCAAAAUGCUCGCAUUAGUUCUCAGCUGGGGCUGUGCAUCAGGCAGGCUGGGGAUAUUCAGUUCUCAGCAGAAGCCGGAAUUGGAAUGCGCUCAUCUUUGAGGAGGCUUUUACCAGGUGUGGGGAGGACACAGGUGCUUCCUCAG
Echinops telfairi (small Madagascar hedgehog) is the source of this 407-nucleotide non-coding RNA. The record is from Rfam. Lineage: Eukaryota; Metazoa; Chordata; Mammalia; Afrosoricida; Tenrecidae.